UGUAUCCACCAAACCUUCUAUGUCCAC
RNAcentral lists this non-coding RNA (27 nucleotides) under Rattus norvegicus (Norway rat). The record is from RNAcentral. Lineage: Eukaryota; Metazoa; Chordata; Mammalia; Rodentia; Muridae.